UCCCACCCGUGUUUACUGUACCUUAGUUGCUUCGGCGGGCCCGCCAUUCAUGGCCGCCGGGGGCUCUCAGCCCCGGGCCCGCGCCCGCCGGAGACACCACGAACUCUGUCUGAUCUAGUGAAGUCUGAGUUGAUUGUAUCGCAAUCAGUUAAAACUUUCAACAAUGGAUCUCUUGGUUCCGGCAUCGAUGAAGAACGCAGCGAAAUGCGAUAACUAGUGUGAAUUGCAGAAUUCCGUGAAUCAUCGAGUCUUUGAACGCACAUUGCGCCCCCUGGUAUUCCGGGGGGCAUGCCUGUCCGAGCGUCAUUGCUGCCCAUCAAGCACGGCUUGUGUGUUGGGUCGUCGUCCCCUCUCCGGGGGGGACGGGCCCCAAAGGCAGCGGCGGCACCGCGUCCGAUCCUCGAGCGUAUGGGGCUUUGUCACCCGCUCUGUAGGCCCGGCCGGCGCUUGCCGAACGCAAAUCAAUCUUUUUCCAGGUUGACCUCGGAUCAGGUAGGGAUACCCGCUGAACUUAAGCAUAUCAAUAAGCGGAGGAAACAA
Molecule: ribosomal RNA, 540 nt
Rfam family: 5.8S ribosomal RNA (bases 153-306)